RNAcentral lists this transfer RNA (63 nucleotides) under Xenostrobus securis. Its description in RNAcentral is "tRNA-Val". Lineage: Eukaryota; Metazoa; Mollusca; Bivalvia; Mytilida; Modiolidae. The record is from RNAcentral.
GAUAAAAUAGAAUAAAUUAGUUCGUUUCAUUUACACUGAAAAAGUCAGUUAACUGUUUUAUUU